ACACCGGCAGCUCUAGUGGUAGCUGUUUUUAUUGGGUCUAAAGGGUCCGUAGCCGGUUUGGUCAGUCCUCCGGGAAAUCUGAUAGCUCAACUAUUAGGCUUUCGGGGGAUACUGCCAGACUUGGAACCGGGAGAGGUAAGAGGUACUACAGGGGUAGGAGUGAAAUCUUGUAAUCCCUGUGGGACCACCUGUGGCGAAGGCGUCUUACCAGAACGGGUUCGACGGGGAGGGACGAAAGCUGGGGGCACGAACCGGAUUAGAUACCCGGGUAGUCCCAGCCGUAAACGAUGCUCGCUAGGUGUCAGGCAUGGCGCGACCGUGUCUGGUGCCGCAGGGAAGCCGUGAAGCGAGCCACCUGGGAAGUACGGCCGCAAGGCUGAAACUCAAAGGAAUUGGCGGGG
Molecule: ribosomal RNA, 401 nt
Filed under: uncultured bacterium
Lineage: Bacteria
Description: partial 16S ribosomal RNA
Rfam family: Archaeal small subunit ribosomal RNA
Source: RNAcentral